RNAcentral lists this ribosomal RNA (497 nucleotides) under uncultured bacterium. Its description in RNAcentral is "partial 16S ribosomal RNA". It matches the Rfam family "Bacterial small subunit ribosomal RNA", at positions 28 to 507 of the family's 1533-position model. The record is from RNAcentral.
GAUGAACGCUGGCGGCGUGCCUAAUACAUGCAAGUCGAGCGAACAGACGAGGAGCUUGCUCCUCUGACGUUAGCGGCGGACGGGUGAGUAACACGUGGAUAACCUACCUAUAAGACUGGGAUAACUUCGGGAAACCGGAGCUAAUACCGGAUAAUAUAUUGAACCGCAUGGUUCAAUAGUGAAAGACGGUUUUGCUGUCACUUAUAGAUGGAUCCGCGCCGCAUUAGCUAGUUGGUAAGGUAACGGCUUACCAAGGCAACGAUGCGUAGCCGACCUGAGAGGGUGAUCGGCCACACUGGAACUGAGACACGGUCCAGACUCCUACGGGAGGCCGCAGUAGGGAAUCUUCCGCAAUGGGCGAAAGCCUGACGGAGCAACGCCGCGUGAGUGAUGAAGGUCUUCGGAUCGUAAAACUCUGUUAUUAGGGAAGAACAAAUGUGUAAGUAACUAUGCACGUCUUGACGGUACCUAAUCAGAAAGCCACGGCUAACUUCGUG